GCUUUUAUAAGGGACUUCCUCCUUCACUCAGCUGUCAUUCUUCUCUCUCCUGCUGCUUUGUGAACAAGUAUAUGUUUGCUUCCCCUUCUGCCAUGAUUGUAAUUUUCCUGAGGCCUCCCAUUCCUGUGGAACUAGACCUCUCAACAAGGAUUAACCCAAUAUCUCCCAUUUUCAAGUUUACAUGGUAUCAAAAGGAAUAAGACAGAUACAUAAACAAAUGGAGACAAAUUUUGGACAACACAAUGGGGAGUGCACUCAGGCAACUCAAAACCAACUCAAAAUCUGAUUUCAACCAAAAUGCAAAGCAGGUGGUAUUGCUUCCCUUGGUGGUACUGGACAAAUGGCUUAGCCUAGACAGGAAAACAAUAGGCUCCCUACAUAUGCUCGAUUACCUCAUCCUUUGACCAAAUCUGCUCCUGAUCUCUGUUCUUUCCCAGUAGUGAAAGGGACGUGCAAUUUUGUGCACAGAACACCCCUUGGGAGAGUCCCUGGGGAAAAUCUCACUGGCAGCUGCUGGGAUCCUCCUGAAGACUAUCUCAUUACAAGCCACUGGCCACUGAACACAGCACUGUCCCAGUCUCUUCUGGCUGCCAUGCCAAAUUUUGUUCCCAGACCAAACUGAGGGUUGGGCUGCUAUUUCUUGUGGCCCAAUAACGAGAUGCAGAUGAACUGGGGAGGAAGAGAGUUUUUAUUUCUGCAACCGGUUACACAGAGAAGGCCUGGAAAUUAUCGCCAGACCAACUCAAAAUUACAAAAUUUUCCAGAGCUUACAUACCUUCUAAGCUAUACGUCUACAUGUAAGUGUGCAUUCAUCUAGAGACAUAAGUUAUUAACUUCUUUUAAUCAAUAACUAAGGUCUUCAAAUCUGAGUCCUAAAGAACUUCUGCUGGAGCCUCAGUAAAUUUACUUAAUCUAAAUAGGUACCGGUGCUGGGGUGAUCACCCUUAUCUUGUCUCCUGCUAAAACACAAAGGUUUGGGGAGUUCCUUCAGACUCCCAAUAAACUUGUUUGUGGAGGCCUGGGGAGUUUCUUCAGACCCACAAUAAAACUUGUUUAAUCCUAAACGGGUCCUGUAAAGAAUUCCUUCAUUAUUUUGUCAUGCUUUACGCCCCAGAAAAGGCCUAGGCAAAACUCUUGGUUGGCUUUUGUUACAGCCCAGCCUUUGUAUAGGGGCACUGGCUUUUAAUGUUUAACUUAACCACUCAGUCAGCACUGAAACAAUUGUUAUGGAGGCCUGCAUUAGUGAGAUCUGGCCUGCCACAAUACCCCACCAAAAGUGACUUCAAAAAUUACUACUGAAAUAAAGACAAAAAGAACUGAAAGAGAUCCUAAACGGCAUUCAAUAAUAUUGUUGCUAGUGGUAACGUUUCAUUUGACAUUUUGAAACCAGUAAAUGUAUAUUGUGGAAAUAAAGUAAAUAAGAAAUGUUUUCAUGUCAUUAGGAACAAGUUCAAAAUACUGAUACAAAUUCAAAAUUUAUUUCUUUCCAAAAUCAUACAAUUAUCCAGCUCUAUUUUCCCAAAAGGUUGAGAAGCAAAGACAACCCAGUAGCAAUAAAUAUCCCUAAUACUCUAAGAGUGAUCUUCAAAUAUGCAAUUCCACUAAAACACAACUUCAGGAAAAUGUGUGAUUCUAAGAAUGAGCAAGAAAUGAACAAGAAGACCAUGAGAAAGUAAUAAGAUGGUCGAAUGCAGUCAUGCAAAAAGACACAGCAGAAUCCCAUUUUCUGAUCCAACAUUAAAAAAAGCUUGGAAGUCAUCACCCUCAUCCUCUCAGCAAGGAAAAAGCUGAACAAACUGAAAAUCAACACCUUUCUUUAGAUACAGCAAAGAAUUAAAGUCACAGGGCAAACCACUGACCUGAAAACUGGAGAGACAAGCAGAGACUGAGAAUCACAGCUUAUGAAGAACGGAAGUUCAGAGGCAAAAGCCCACUACUAUGGCUGCAGUGUUGAAAAGACAUAAAUUAUUAUUAAAAAAUUACUGAUGGCUCAACGUGGACAACUCUGACAGUUAAAAACCCUGGUGGGGAUGAGUUUCAGGGGGCCUCAAAUUUUUGAGAGAUUUACCUCCGGCAGCCCUACCAGGUUUUGUAAAAAAACUACAGAAAAAUCCCCUGUGAUUUCAUCUGGAGGGCAAAAAAGUCGCCAUUUAAAAAUAAGCCUGAGCUCUCAGUUCUGUCAACAAAGUACUGCCCUCCAAAGAAACUAAUUUACCAGCGCCUAACUGAUCCAGGGAAAUGGAAAUAUUCAAAUUAAACCACCUCUAUUCCUUGAUGUGCGUGAAGAAAAAUACCUGACAUCAGGCACCAGGAUUUAUUGUCUCACCUAGAGACAGUAAAACCAGAGAAGCACUUGUAAAAGUCAUAGCCCGGGGCACAAGCUCACUGAGAGACUGAAACCUAUCAUUUUAAUUGCAUGUGAAUGCAUGCAAACAUGUACAUACUCAUAUUUGGCAAUAAAGUUGUUCUACUGUUAUCAGUUAUAUCAAGACACU
This 2495-nucleotide long non-coding RNA is filed under the name Homo sapiens (human). RNAcentral's name for it is "HSALNT0123007". The record is from RNAcentral. Lineage: Eukaryota; Metazoa; Chordata; Mammalia; Primates; Hominidae.